AUUCAAUUGUGCAUUACACUAAGGGGCCGUUUGGUUGGAUGUAGUUAUAAAUACAGUGUAGUUAAAAAUGCAUGCAGUUGAAAUACAGCUGUUGUAAUUAUAUAUAGUUUGUUUGGUUUUGUCUAGAUGUAACUGUUGCAGUUGCAUUUCUUCUGUUUGAUAAUUUAAAGCUGUUAGUUGUAUUUGUGAAUCAAAUCACCUCUUUAGAUAGAGUGGUGAGAUUACCUUCACUAUACAUAAAAUAAUUGUACAAUUUUAUUAAUCAUUUAAAUUUACUAUCUAUAAAUAAAUAAGUGGAUAUAUAUAAUAUUGUUAUAUUUUUCAAUAAUUCUUCAACUUAUCAAUCGACACAUUUAAAAUUUUAAUUUAUUUAAUUUUCAUAUUUAAAUCAAACUUUAAAAAUUUAAAUGAAUAUCUCAUAUUUUUUGUCAAAUUUAAUAAUUAUAAUUAAUUAAAACUUUAUUAA
This 466-nucleotide long non-coding RNA is filed under the name Ananas comosus (pineapple). RNAcentral's name for it is "long non-coding RNA (ACOM_LNC021409)". Lineage: Eukaryota; Viridiplantae; Streptophyta; Magnoliopsida; Poales; Bromeliaceae. The record is from RNAcentral.